RNAcentral lists this non-coding RNA (46 nucleotides) under Schistosoma mattheei. The record is from RNAcentral. Lineage: Eukaryota; Metazoa; Platyhelminthes; Trematoda; Strigeidida; Schistosomatidae.
GCACUGCUGAGGAGUCCUAAAAUAAGACGAAACGGCUGUCCAGUGC